AGCCAUUGAUGAAAAAACUGACACCUCGUAUGAGAGCAUAGCUCCUGAUUUUACUUGUGGUCUGAGGCUC
Molecule: non-coding RNA, 70 nt
Organism: Doryrhamphus excisus (bluestripe pipefish)
Lineage: Eukaryota; Metazoa; Chordata; Actinopteri; Syngnathiformes; Syngnathidae
Source: RefSeq, a predicted model, not a curated record